Gasterosteus aculeatus aculeatus (three-spined stickleback) is the source of this 923-nucleotide long non-coding RNA. The record is from Ensembl. NCBI's taxonomy places the organism in Eukaryota, Metazoa, Chordata, Actinopteri, Perciformes, Gasterosteidae.
AUGUAAACUAGGUGGACAUCGGAGUGAAUCCACGCUUGUGCGUCCCUGCCCACAGAAAUUCCUCCGCAGGGGAAAUAUUAAUACGGCUUGAAAGAUCAAUGAUGCCCUGAAGCUUUCUCUAGAAUUCAAAUGGUCUUGCGUUGGAUGUGUGUGAUUGAGGCUCUUUAAGACGCUGAUGUCUGACAAACCCUAAUCAAAGUAGUGUAGAUCUGUAAUCCACAUAACCACGUUGCAGCAUUUCAACAACAUUGACAUUAGACAUCAAAGCGUUGAUCUCAGAGGGACGGAUGAGGGAGACGGUGGAACCAAGGCGAGGAAUGCAGAGUGGGCCAAAGUUCGGCUCCAGAAAUGCCCGAACGCAUAUUCAUAGCCGCCCACGACAACCCCCCCCCCCCCCACCCCCUCUUUCCCCAUCUGACGUGGAGGAUUCGGAGCAAAGACGAGCGACUCAGGAGAACAGACACAGCGGGGCGGAUGGGGGGGGGCAAGAAGUUGAGCAGGAGCCUUGUGCUGAGGCGAGUGGUUUGUGUGCGCACGUAUGCUGUGUGCUCAGUGCCAGCCGUUUGCCCAUCCCAUCAAUGAGGCCGUUGUUGUUGUGGUUGGGGGGGAGCGGCGGCCUGGCGGCUCGGCCACUCCGCUUCCGGUGACACUCGCCUGUCUCUUGGCCUUUUGUUGCCGUGCGGGUGGUGGAGCCACAUUGGAGUUACGGCGGAACAGUUGCGUCACUCUAGUGAGACGUCUCAAAGUGGCUAAUAUUGGCUCUGGAUUCUCCGGGGGAAGUUGGGGUGUGUUAAUCGAGAAGCUCUCGUACACAAUCCACUUCGACCCGCCAUCUGCACACCCCGGCUGCCGCAGCAAGAGGCGGAAUUAUCGGCUUCUACUUCUGCAUCUAGUUGUUCCACACUCAACAGUCCUCCUGGUAA